AGGCGCUGUCUACGAGUCGGGUUG
This 24-nucleotide small nuclear RNA is filed under the name Arabidopsis thaliana (thale cress). Its description in RNAcentral is "snRNA_02951". The record is from RNAcentral. Lineage: Eukaryota; Viridiplantae; Streptophyta; Magnoliopsida; Brassicales; Brassicaceae.